Non-coding RNA from Camellia sinensis, 644 nucleotides. NCBI's taxonomy places the organism in Eukaryota, Viridiplantae, Streptophyta, Magnoliopsida, Ericales, Theaceae. The record is from RefSeq and is a predicted model, not a curated record.
ACCAACAAAAGUUUGGUGGGAAGAUUAAAAUACUACCGCGUAUUUUCUAUGUUUCCUUUUACUUAUUUUUUUGUUUCUCUGUAUGUGUUGAAUACACCAAAGGAAACCCCUCUUACUCUUACUCUCGUCCACAGCCCAUCGAUCAUCUCCUCUCAUCGACUAACCAUCGGCCACCGUUGCGCAGAGCCCCCGAACCAGCAAAGGUACAUCGUCUGACACCCAUUUAAUUUGAUUCAGAGGCUUUCAAUAUUGGACCCGUAGAGAAGAAGCUGCUGCCUUGCAUGCCAGUCUUUCAAGCACCGUUUGGUCGGCUGCCAUUGACAAAAGCCAUGGCUUUAAGAUUGCCACGGAGUACACUAUCGCUCAGUACAAUUCACCAUUUCAGUUUGAGAACAAAGUGAAUGAAAUUUGGUUGAUGUUUGAUAUGGAAUAGUAAUCAAGAUGGUGAUGGAGUGUGAGAAUUUAGUGAAGACCUAUUAAUUAUUCAAUAAAAAUGUUAAAAUCUCUAAAAUCAAAUUAGGUAAGAGAGACAAGAUGAGGGACUUAGAUAAGGAACGCAAAAUUAUGUGUUUCCAAAUUAUUGUCUUUUUAUUUUAAUACACUCUCAACUAUUAAAUCAUAUAUAUAUCGAUAUUCUUAUCUAA